GUGGGGAAUAUUGGGCAAUGGGCGAAAGCCUGACCCAGCAACGCCGCGUGAAGGAAGAAGGUUUUCGGAUCGUAAACUUCUAUCCUUGGUGAAGAUAAUGACGGUAGCCAAGAAGGAAGCCCCGGCUAACUACGUGCCAGCAGCCGCGGUAAUACGUAGGGGGCAAGCGUUGUCCGGAAUGAUUGGGCGUAAAGGGCGCGUAGGCGGCCCGGUAAGUCUGAAGUGAAAGUCCUGCUUUUAAGGUGGGAAUUGCUUUGGAUACUGUCGGGCUUGAGUGCAGGAGAGGUAAGCGGAAUGCCCGGUGUAGCGGUGAAAUGCGUAGAGAUCGGGAGGAACACCAGUGGCGAAGGCGGCUUACUGGACUGUAACUGACGCUGAGGCGCGAAAGUGUGGGAAGCAAACAGGAUUAGAUACCCGGGUAGUCC
RNAcentral lists this ribosomal RNA (425 nucleotides) under uncultured bacterium. RNAcentral describes it as "partial 16S ribosomal RNA". It matches the Rfam family "Bacterial small subunit ribosomal RNA", at positions 354 to 796 of the family's 1533-position model. The record is from RNAcentral.